Molecule: ribosomal RNA, 301 nt
Filed under: uncultured bacterium
Lineage: Bacteria
Description: partial 16S ribosomal RNA
Rfam family: Bacterial small subunit ribosomal RNA
Source: RNAcentral
CAGCCGCCGCGGUAAUACGGAGGGGGCUAGCGUUGUUCGGAAUUACUGGGCGUAAAGCGCACGUAGGCGGCUUGGUAAGUUAGAGGUGAAAGCCCAGGGCUCAACCCUGGAAUUGCCUUUAAGACUGCCGAGCUAGUAGGUGAGAGGGGUGAGUGGAAUUCCGAGUGUAGAGGUGAAAUUCGUAGAUAUUCGGAAGAACACCAGUGGCGAAGGCGGCUUACUGGCUCAUUCUAGACGCUGAGGUGCGAAAGCGUGGGGAGCAAACAGGAUUAGAUACCCCUGUAGUCCCUGUCUCUUAUAC